RNAcentral lists this ribosomal RNA (549 nucleotides) under uncultured Glomeromycotina. Its description in RNAcentral is "SSU rRNA". It matches the Rfam family "Eukaryotic small subunit ribosomal RNA", at positions 548 to 1098 of the family's 1831-position model. Lineage: Eukaryota; Fungi; Glomeromycota. The record is from RNAcentral.
UUGGAGGGCAAGUCUGGUGCCAGCAGCCGCGGUAAUUCCAGCUCCAAUAGCGUAUAUUAAAGUUGUUGCAGUUAAAAAGCUCGUAGUUGAAUUUCGGGGUUAGUAGGUUGGUCAUGCCUCUGGUAUGUACUGGUCUCACUGAUUCCUACUUCCUGAUGAGCCGUAAUGCCAUUAAUUUGGUGUUGCGGGGAAUUUGGACUGUUACUUUGAAAAAAUUAGAGUGUUUAAAGCAAGCUAACGCUUGAAUACAUUAGCAUGGAAUAAUGAAAUAGGACGUUCGAUCCUAUUUUGUUGGUUUCUAGGAUUGACGUAAUGAUUAAUAGGGAUAGUUGGGGGCAUUAGUAUUCAAUUGUCAGAGGUGAAAUUCUUGGAUUUAUUGAAGACUAACUACUGCGAAAGCAUUUGCCAAGGAUGUUUUCAUUAAUCAAGAACGAAAGUUAGGGGAUCGAAGACGAUCAGAUACCGUCGUAGUCUUAACCAUAAACUAUGCCGACUAGGGAUCGGAUGAUGUUAAUUUUUUAAUGACUCAUUCGGUGCCUUACGGGAAAC